UCUCGGGGUUAUUGGGCGUAAAGCGCGCGCAGGCGGCUGAUUAAGUCAGGUGUGAAAGGCUGCGGCUCAACCGCAGAGCGGCACCUGAAACUGGUCAGCUUGAGUGCAGGAGAGGGGAGCGGAAUUCCCGGUGUAGCGGUGGAAUGCGUAGAGAUCGGGAGGAACACCAGUGGCGAAGGCGGCUCUCUGGCCUGUAACUGACGCUGAGGCGCGAAAGCGUGGGGAGCAAACAGGAUUAGAUACCCUGGUAGUCCACGCCGUAAACGAUGAGUGCUAGGUGUUGGGGGGCUACGCCCCUCAGUGCCGAAUGUAACCCAUUAAGCACUCCGCCUGGGGAGUACGGCCGCAAGGCUGAAACUCUAAGGAAAUUGACGGGA
This 377-nucleotide ribosomal RNA is filed under the name Thermoactinomyces sp. 35D(A)TA3. RNAcentral describes it as "bacterial SSU rRNA". It matches the Rfam family "Bacterial small subunit ribosomal RNA", at positions 543 to 918 of the family's 1533-position model. Lineage: Bacteria; Bacillati; Bacillota; Bacilli; Caryophanales; Thermoactinomycetaceae. The record is from RNAcentral.